This 221-nucleotide long non-coding RNA is filed under the name Daucus carota (carrot). RNAcentral describes it as "long non-coding RNA (DCAR_LNC002759)". Lineage: Eukaryota; Viridiplantae; Streptophyta; Magnoliopsida; Apiales; Apiaceae. The record is from RNAcentral.
GAGCAAGUCCAAUAGGUGUGCUAAAUCAAGUCUUAAAUCCAAAAAUAGGGAAUAUGGGAUAAAAUUGCACUCCAACACUAUGCUAAUGAUGUGCUAAAUCACUAGCACAAGCAUCCCCUUCCCUAUUUUUAGAAUAUGCUAGCCACUUCUAAACUAUUUUUAUCAUUAAAAUAUUCAUUUCCCUCUCUCCUCCACAUCAUUUCCCUCUCUCUUUUUUCCUC